Molecule: transfer RNA, 85 nt
Filed under: Brevundimonas diminuta
Lineage: Bacteria; Pseudomonadati; Pseudomonadota; Alphaproteobacteria; Caulobacterales; Caulobacteraceae
Also listed under: 23 other names
Description: tRNA-Leu
Rfam family: tRNA
About the family: Transfer RNA (tRNA) molecules are approximately 80 nucleotides in length. Their secondary structure includes four short double-helical elements and three loops (D, anti-codon, and T loops).
Source: RNAcentral
GCCGGUGUGGUGGAAUUGGUAGACGCGCCGGACUCAAAAUCCGGUUCCGCAAGGAGUGUCGGUUCGAGUCCGACCACCGGCACCA